GGGAGCGUAGCUCAGUCUGGUUAGAGCGCAUGCCUGUCACGCAUGAGGUCGCGAGUUCGAGCCUCGUCGUUCCCG
Fusobacterium sp. CAG:439 is the source of this 75-nucleotide non-coding RNA. The record is from Rfam. NCBI's taxonomy places the organism in Bacteria, Fusobacteriati, Fusobacteriota, Fusobacteriia, Fusobacteriales, Fusobacteriaceae.